This is a long non-coding RNA of Sitodiplosis mosellana (orange wheat blossom midge), 389 nucleotides long. RefSeq lists it as uncharacterized. The record is from RefSeq and is a predicted model, not a curated record. NCBI's taxonomy places the organism in Eukaryota, Metazoa, Arthropoda, Insecta, Diptera, Cecidomyiidae. The transcript has 3 exons.
GCAAUUUAAACACUGAUAUCAUUAAUCAUUCGAGUGAAAUCAUCAAUCAUGAACUUGAUCUAUUCUACCUCAGCUCGACUCUGCUUGGACACUUUCAAACGAUGUGUAACAAGAAGAAGUCAAGUUGUAUCGGUGCACAUACAGCAUGCUGUAUUGUUGGGCAUCCAAUUUUAUCUCGUAGAUUCACUGCUCAGUGUUGAGUUAACUCUCUUCUUUAACACACAACAGACUUCACUCUCUGUGUAUUGUAGUUUUGCAUGGUAUUUCUCUUUCGUGUGCGAAGAGUGGAACCAACACACGAGAAGCCAUUGUAUGUUGUGUGCUAGACAGACAGCUGAGCACAUUUGAUGGUGUGUACGAGCGCGCAUGAGAGUGGAAUACACACAAUA